RNAcentral lists this ribosomal RNA (252 nucleotides) under uncultured bacterium. RNAcentral's name for it is "partial 16S ribosomal RNA". It matches the Rfam family "Bacterial small subunit ribosomal RNA", at positions 526 to 779 of the family's 1533-position model. The record is from RNAcentral.
CGUAGGUGCGAGCGUUAAUCGGAAUUACUGGGCGUAAAGCGUGCGCAGGCGGUUAUGUAAGACAGAUGUGAAAUCCCCGGGCUCAACCUGGGAACUGCAUUUGUGACUGCAUGACUGGAGUGCGGCAGAGGGGGAUGGAAUUCCGCGUGUAGCAGUGAAAUGCGUAGAUAUGCGGAGGAACACCGAUGGCGAAGGCAAUCCCCUGGGCCUGCACUGACGCUCAUGCACGAAAGCGUGGGAGCAAACAGGAUU